AUGCAUGUGCGCCACAGUUUCUUUUUAGGGAAUGUGCGCCACAGUCAGCCCAUGUACAUCCGCCGCGUAUACGCGGGCCUUCUGGCCGCUGGAUUUUUUAUUUUAUUUCGUUUGAGGAUUGCUGCAUUUCUUUUCAAUCGAAAAAAAACACAUAUAGGACACUGUCCGCCGGGCCCGGUGUACGCACACGUAGCCAGCCAGCCAGGCCGCGUGGCAGGUGUGGUGGAGCCUUCAUACAACUCGAAGCAGCACGGGACAAGUAGUAGUACAGGACACUGUCCACCGGGCCCGGCUCGGCUGUCAGGCAGGCAGGGCCUGCAACCCCAACGGGAAGUUGCAGUUGCACGACGACGACGAAAUCUGUACGCUCCGUCUGCUGCCGCCGUUCAUGCUUCCCUCCCGCCAAAGAAAGCCUCGGCGGCUCAGCAGCUGGCGGCGAAAUUUCUCGAACAGCCUGGGCGGGACGGACGGAGGGCCCAUCCUCCGCCAUCUCCCUCCGCAACGAUCCAAAACGGCCGGCCUUGGAUGCGCGCCGGACGACGGAUCACGCUCCGGCCUCCAGCAGUAGCCGUUGCUCCCGCCGCUGGGCCCGCCGCGGCGGUUGCAAAGGCGGCAGAAAGGACGAGCGCGCCAGCCCGACUCACCCGCCAUGUCUGCCGCCGCACCUCCCUCUCCCUGGCAGCCUGUACUUAUCCGACCUCCGCCGUGCACGCCUCCCCUUCCUCCCAGCGUUUACGCAGGAACCUGCGCGCCAAAGUUGGACAAAAGUUUUCACCGGGGAGCAGCGGCCUUGGAUCUGACCGAGCUCCGGCGUGCUUUACACACGCUUUUUACUUGCGUGCGCCACCGGACCACGGUCCACGGCAGCGGGGCACAUGCGCUGCCGUUCGUACCGCCGUGCUGCAUGCAGCAGGCGCGGGCGCGGGCGUGGGCGGGUCCAGCCCAGCGGCGCUCAGGCCAACUCCAUUGUGCGACCCCGAACGGACUUCCGUUUUGUUCUAUUUUUGUCCUGGGAUGCGGUGA
This 1023-nucleotide ribosomal RNA is filed under the name Triticum aestivum (bread wheat). RNAcentral's name for it is "partial small subunit ribosomal RNA". The record is from RNAcentral. Lineage: Eukaryota; Viridiplantae; Streptophyta; Magnoliopsida; Poales; Poaceae.